CUCUAUUCUUUUUUUUUUUUUUUUUGAGACGGAGUUUCGCUCUUGUUACCCAGGCUGGAGUGCAAUGGUGAGAUCUCGGCUCACCGCAACCUCCGCCUCCUGGGUUCGGGCAAUUCUCCUGCCUCAGCCUCCUGAGUAGCUGGGAUUACAGGCACACGCCACCAUGGCCAGCUAAUUUUUUGUAUUUUUAGUAGAGACAGGGUUCCACCACGUUGACCAGGAUGGUCUUGAUUUCUUGACCUCGUGAUCCACCCACCUCGGCCUCCCAAAGUGCUGGGAUUACAAGCGUGAGCCACCGCGCCCGGCCCGAGUGUCUCUGUGCGUAAAAGUUUGUCUGAGACAGGAAGGAGAGCAAGUGCUGAGCUCACGUUUUGUAACUACACCGUUUUCUAAGAAUUUAAAAGAACAUUUGUUGCUCCCCUUCCCCCUCAAAAUAAGGCAUGUUCCUUGUAGGAAAGGUAGAAAAAUACGUGUAAGAAGAAGAAAAAAAACUGCCGUAACUCCCUCCAUUAGAAACAUACCCUGUUGAACCUGGAAUUUCCUUCCAGACUUCUGGCUUUGUGUUUUAGUAGAAAUGGUCUAACUCAUUACUUGCAACAUAUGAUUCACUUAACAGUUCAUGAAUAUCUUUCUCUUGUGUAUGCUACUCUUCUUCCAAAACAGCCUUUCAACUUUUAUUGACCUAUCUGGGAUCUCCUGUCUGGGAUUCAAAUGGUUCAAAAAUCUGACAGGUGCAAAGGUGCAUUCAGGGGAAGGUUGCCCCUUUUGUUUUCUGCCUGGGAGCCCACUCAGUUCCGCCCCCUGGAGGCAACGGAUGCUCCUUCACAAGCAGCAAAUUUAGUAGUUGGAUCAUAUUCUGUUGCAUAAAUGUCUCAAUAUUUAUUUAGUUUUUAAGACACAGUCUCCCUCUCCAAUAUUUAUUAAAAUAGCUUUCCAUCUUGAAUAUUUGGAUGUUACUGUUUUAUUUUGCUCUUAUACAUAAGGCUAUGAUGAAUGGCCUUCUAGCUAGGUCUUUGUACACAUACUUCAUUUUGUUAGAAUACAUUUUUAGAAGCAGAAUUUCUGGGUCAGAAGGUAGGACAAAUUAAAAAAAAAUCCAAUCUCAGAUUUUUACCUCCAAAAAAAUCUGUAUUGAUUGGCAUUCCCCCAGCAAUGCACGAGAAUGUCUGUAUCCCCACCUGUGUUAUUAAAACUCACUUCCUCAAACGGUGCCAACUUAGUGGGUAAAAGUGCAUGUGAGGCCCCUGACGCUGACUGUGAACUGCACUUUUAAAGGGUGCAAGUAGCACCUUGGGGGAAAAAUAGGAGACUAGGUGGUGGCUCCAGGGACAGCAGCUCUGAGUCCCUGGGGAGGGCUGACCUGUGAGAGCAGCAGAGGGCAAUCUAGUGUGGCUUGAGGUGGCAGCAUCACCAGUGGCCCAAGCCUGGGGACAGAAUUCUUCACUUUUCAGAAACCCCCAGGUAGAAGCGGGAGGAUCCCAGGCCAUGAGAAGCAUGAAGGCCACAAAAUAAUCACAGCCUGAGGUCCAGGGACAAUUGGUUCGCAGGCAGGAUUUUUGAUUUUCCCCCUGAAAGAGACUGUGAUGUUCUUUUUCUGGCAAGUUAAUGGUGUACUAAAAGGGGUCCUUGGAAUAGGGUUGGGGGUGCUGGUGGUGAACACUCUUGGGUGAUGGAAAUGCCCCUCUCUCUAGAGUGUGCCCUGUGCACAGGUUUGGGGUACAGCCGGUGUCCUUGUGUCCUCUGGUGCUGGGCUCUGCGGUUCCUGCUUGGGGAAGGGAGAAUAAAGACUGCUUUCAUGUACCCAGCUGAGAGUGGGGCAAGGGACAGCAAGGGCUCCCUUAUUCAUGAACCCCCAGAUCUCAGAAAGUUUGCACUGAAGGGUGAACCCGGACAUUGAGAAGAGCUGGAUAUUCCCUCGACAUUCACCUACCCUUCAGGUUUCUCUAAACAAUCCCUGCUUUUACCACGUCUGCGUCAAGGGGCAACUCCAUCCACCUCUAAGAAAAGAAAAGAAAAAAAAGCAUUUAACACAAAGCAAAACAUGAAAGGAUUUUUUGAUGGAAGCUGCAUAAAAAUGGGACUGCGUUGAAAUAAGCAUCUAUGAGAGCUGACGUCUGCCCUGGCAGUGUCUGGUAACCUAGAAUUUCCAGAACUGCAUUAAGAGCGUGGACAGAGAAAUCUGCACAACUCUUACCCCUGGACAUGACGAGUUAUCCUCAUUAGUGGUUUGCAGAAAGAUGUGGGGAAGAAUGCUGUGUGCCAGCACCAGGAGCUGCUUGACAAUCCAGUCAAUGGGCGUCCAUCCUCGGCCCGCGCUGUCAAUUCAAGUGGUUCUGGAAUUCCAGGGCACACCACGAACCAAACCCUAACUAAAUCUCCAGGUAGACCAAGGAUCCCGAGAUGUGAGCGAUUUUGAUGUUCAUGGCUGUGGCAAAUAAAAAAAAAGUGAUAACAGGCUUCCAUUUGCUGAAGACAGCAUUUAACCACACCCUCCCUAACCCAAACCUCCCACCUCUUCCUACGAAAAAUAUCGCUAAGGAGGCUGAGAAGCUGUCAAGCACCCUCUGGGCUUUGCCUCCCCCGUAGGGCUGCUAGUGACAGAGGCAUUCGCCAAGACGACAGGUCAUUGAAUAUUUAUUGGUUCCCCUGCACUGGGAGGAGCCGCUGCAGAGUGGAAAGACCCAUGAGACAGGUUUCUGCCCGCGAGGAGUUUUCAGCAACGAGGCAAACCCAGGAUACAAAUAUUGUUAAAUAAGCAGAGAGCAUGCCAGGGACCCUAGAAGAGAAAAGACAGGGCUGUGGGCAGAGACCAGUGAUGACUGAGAAGGCACCCGUGGGCCUUCCUUAACGGGGGUGGCUUGGAAGGGAGGAGAUCUGAAGGCAGGGCAGUGACAGGUGGUGGGCACAGAAAAACUGAGCACACUGGGAUAGGAUGAGUAGGGUAGGUUUGGUACAAAGGAAAGAUGCAAUGAGGCUGAAGCAAGAGCGAGAGUGGCCAGUAAAAGAAGGAAGACAGGGAAGGGAGGGAGGAGCUCCCUGCCCCAGCCAGCCCUGCCUGAGCAUUCUUCUGGCUUUGCUCAGCUUAUCCGAGCCCUGUAUUCUAGUGUUACAAAGCAUAUGGGCAGAUGGGCAUUCUCCUGUACUAUCUGUGGAUGUGAAAAUCAUCUUACCAUUUUUUCUGCAUAGUUUGGCCCUGUGAUCUCACAAUCCCACAUCAAGGAAUUCCCCUUAGUGGAUAAGCACCCAGAUGUAUAUAGCAAAAGAAGGUUAUAGAGAAAGCUGGGUUUUGUAGAAUAAUUUUAUUUUAUUUAUUUGUUUUUGAGGCAGAAUCUCGCUCUGUCACCCAAGCUGAAGUGCAGUGGUGUGAACAUGGCUCAUUGCAGCCUCCACCUCCCUGAAUCAAACAAUCCUUCUCCCUCAGCCUCCCAUUGGAGCUGGUACCACAGGCGCACACCACAAUGCCCAUACUGAUGUGGCAUUCCAGCUAUUUGGCAAACCAAGCUGCACCCCGGAGCUGAUAGUUACCAAGGUGCUUUGCCCAUAAUUGCCGCCCAAUAAAGAGUUGACUGGUUGAUCACUUAUUUACAUGCUGUGUAUUUUUUAACUUUCUUCAAGCAUCAAGCAGAUUUAUAGCAGACCCAACGCCACAGUAGGUCAGCAUUAGGGGCUAAUCAAUUUUAGUAUUUGUGCAGUGCUGUUCUCUUAACAAAGCAUACUCACUCUCAUCUAAUUCCUUAUUCCACACAUGACAACUCUGGAGACCAUUAAUCAGGGCUCAACAAACUUGGUUUGUAAAGGUCCAGAUUGUAAAUACUUAAGGCUUGAGGCCCAAAUGUUCUCUGUCUCAACAACUCAGCUCUACCACUGUCAUGUGAAAGCAGCCUUAGACAAUAGGUAAAUGAAUAGCUGUGACUGUUCCAAUAAAACUUUAUUUAAAAAAACGUAUUGAGCUAGAUUUGACCGUGAGCCAGUGUGCCAGUCCCUGAGUACUGAAAAGCCAACAUUGCCCAUUAAGAAUCCAAUGCCCAGUGACGUUAUAUCUUGCUUAAGUCCGCCUGCACUAUAAAUCAUCUUAAAGGACUUUUUUUUCUUUUGUACUUCUAGUUUUAGAUUCAACUGUAAUAGUUUAUUAUAAUCAAUGUUUGGUAACCACAAUGACUCCAACCUCACUCUGUCAAGAUCUAGAUGGUUCCUUACCAAAGUCCUUUCCCAUUGUGCUGGUAGAAGUGAUUCAUUCAAGAAAUUAACUAAAGAGGGAGCAGCAUGGCUCAGAGUCCCGAAGCCAAAUGCUGUUGUUAAGAACUGUGAAUGGUGCCCGGUCUGCCUACGGAGCUUCACAUGUGCCUGUGCUGUACCUGUUGGACACACUCCUCACACAACCCUGCUAGACGGUCACUUGCUCUCCUUUCAUUUUAAAGAUGAGCAAACCCAGGCCCAGAGCAGUUAAAAGAGCUCCUCAAGGUCACCCACAAGGUUAUGUGCAGUUGCACAGGGCCCCAUUUUCCAAAGGGGACCCUUCAUGAUUGUGUUAAUGUGCUGCUAUUGCCACUUUGAAUUCUUAAUAAAUUUUGAACUGGGCUCUGUAUUUCCGCUGGGUUCUGCAGAUUAUAUUGUUUCCUGGCUACACAGCCAAGAGUGGAGCUGGGAUUCCAACCCAACUCCAUCAAGCCCUUCUUAAUUCUGUGUGUUCUCACCAUUGACCCCCAAGUGAUUGCACUGAGGGGAGAUUUUGUUAUCAUGAGCUCAGCUUCACUUGGGUGAUAUAUAUGCAGGGGCUAAACGGAAAUGUGUUCAAGGAACCAAAUCUGUUUGACUCAUGUAAAACAUACAGAACUCAACACAAAUGCUUUUUAAUAUGUGAUCCCAAAGGUCACAGAAAGUAGUUUACAUUUGUGUGGUGUGCUUUCAUUACGUGACAUAAUCCCUCUCAUUUCCCUGUAAGUGGAUAUUACUAUCUCAAGUUUCAGGUGAAGAAACUGAGGCCCAGAAAAAGUUAAAUAACUUGCAAAUGGGAGACAGCCAAUCCAGCUGCAUAUCCAAUUUUUCUCUCUUGAAAUCAAAAGGAUCCCUUUUCCAGGGUUCACCUCAAUAUCCAGGUUUAUAAAUGAUUCCUGGAAUGGGAUAUAACUAUUUCCAGGUAUGCAGACUCACACUAAUGUCUGCCAACAAAUUAAAGAAAAGAAAGCCGGGCGCAGUGGCUCAUGCCUAUAAUCCCAGCACUUUGGGAGGCUGAGGUGGGUGGAUCAUGAGAUCAAGAGAUCGAGACCAUCCUGGUCAACAUGAUGAAACCACGUCUCUACUAAAAAUAUAAAAAUUAGCAGGGCAUGGUGGCGCAGCCUGUAGUCCCAGCUACCUGGGAGGCUGAGGCAGGAGAAUUGCUUGAACCCAGGAGGAAGAGGUUGUGGCGAACCGAGAUCGCGCCAUUGCACUCCAGCCUGGGUAACGAGCGAAACUCCGUCUCCAAAAAAAGAAAGAAAAGAGAAAAGUGUGCCAUUUCCUUCCAAAAAGGAGCCCUGCCUUGCACUUCAUCUGUUAGAGUAGAUGAUGUGGUGUUUUGUCUGUUGGGUGUCUCUAACAGACACCCUAGAAAGACAACUAGGAAAGCUGUGUGUGUACUCCAAAGGAGAUGUUAAGUGGGGACCCCAUCAAACUUAAGCAGAAGCAGGCAUUUUUCCUGGAAAAUACUCAGUCUGAUGUGGCUGUACAUUAGGUUUGGCAGUGCUGCCUCAGCAACAGCACAAAGAAAAGCCUGCCACCUCCAGAUUCAUGGCAUGGAUUUGCAGUCCAUCAAUCACGGGAAAAAUUAUUUCGAUAAAGCCUUCUCCGGAAGUUGAAGCAAGGCCAUGUGCACUUGAGGAGUCUAUAAUCUGGAAACCACAACUAGCCAACUUGCGAAGAGUAAAUUCUAGGUGUUCAAUAUGACAGCUGCGUUCUCUCUGGGGUACUGAGGCAUUCUGGUGAAUUCACCGAGAAUGUUGGGACUGCACUGACCACCGCAGGGGAGUCCCGGCUCUACCACUUACUCGAUGUAAGUUACCUUUUAUUGUGGUGCUUCAAUUUCUUCAGCCAAAAUGAUGCUGAUCAUAACAAUCUCAUACAUUUGCUGGAGGAAAAAAAGCAGACAAUAGUAAUAUUUGAAAGCAAAGCAUAAACAUUAGUGAAAAAAACCCAGAGAGUAAACUGUAAUAAAAUAACAUAAACGUUGGUCUUGCGUUUGCAUUUUCAGACCCUGAAGGUGAUCGCAUUAAGACUGCAGGAUUACCUGCAAAAAAAAAAUACUGUGGAAUUAAGGAACUCAGGGUCCCUGCAGGAAAGCGCUGGCAUAGUCCAGAAGAGGCAACUGAAGAGAGUUUAAUAAAGGGCCUAUUUACAAGGGUGUGAGUAGGUUAUGGAGACCAAAGGAAGGGUAAUGCCUUUGGGUUUUCAUCUGCCUGGAAGGUGGAACCUGAGAGAGCUACUGCUAUAGGAGGGGACCUUAGACAGCACAGCCGGUACCAGAUUGUGGGUUGGGAAGGAUGGGGACGCUUGUCCUCACCUCAUUCUCCUCUCAUCAUCUCCCAGGGGCUGAACCCAAAUGGAAGCCAAAGGGCAAGGGAAGCCUUGGGUGCAGUUUCUAAGAGUCUGAUUGUGGGGCAGAAAGCCAGGUGGAGAAGCGGGGAGAGUUGACUUGAAGAAGCACAUAGAGAAUAUCUGGUGCAAGCGAUGUUAAGAAGCAGUGACUCCCGAGUCUGGCUGAUUUUUCAACUUCACUGGAGAUCAAUACACAUACUAUAUGUACAUAUACAUAUCCAUGCAGCCUUGGCCUUAGAUAGGAUAAUUUUGAGAGCGGGCCUGAGGCUCCCCAGGUGAUCCUGAUGAUUGUACAGAUGUGGAAACCACGGAAAGAUGUUCACCGAGAGCGCUUCCAACCCUGGCAUGUGAUAGAUGAGCCACAACACAUGUGCUGCACGAAUGUGAUCCCUUGAAGUGCCUGCCCGACUGCCUCCCACCCAGUUCAAAACAACCGAUGCUGAUUGCACAGCUGCAACACACAAAGCACUGUAAUUAGUUUUUCUACAUGGAAUUUGCUCUCCAACCCCUGCAAACGUAUGUGAGACAGGGUCCACAGUACUCAAGUUUUCUUCAUUUAGUGAGAAUAAAAGAUUUUGGAAGAGUAAAAGAUUUUUAUGAAACUUCAAAGCAAUAAUAGGGAAAAUGGUGUAAGCGAUUAAUUUGUGAGUGCAAACUAGGACCGAUUUCACUGCUGGAGAGGGAUAAGAGGAAAACUCAUUCACAGCAGCUGGCAGAAGAGGUGACUCCUUAGUAUCCCCAUUUCACAGAUCGGCAUGCUGAGGCCCAGGAGGGGCUGCAUCACAGCUUUCAUGGGCCCUCCUCUGUAAAAAUAUAUUAAAGAUUGUAUUUUGCCAUUACAUUGGUAUAAAGACAGAUAUAAUCCAGACUGAAUUAUAUUCACUUAUUUUCUUUUGAUUAAAAAAAUGUAAAGCACUUAUGUGGGCUGCUAAAAUAUCAUGGGCCUUAAGCACCGUGCCUCCUGUGCCGAAUGGAGAAGUCAGCCCUGAGCGUUGGAUGAUGCACCCUCCCCCCCCCCCACACACACAAAGCUGAGAAACAAAUUUCUCAUCAGCUGUCAGGCUCUACAGCCUGGCUGCACCUUAGGAAAAGCUGGGUUGCUCCCUCAAAUCCCCACUCUCGGCUGUUACCCAGACUGGUUAAGUCAGAAUCUCUGAGUAUGGGAACAAGGGACCAGACAUCUGAGGUGAUCCCAAUGGGUAGACAAAGUUGACAGCCGUGCUUGAAAGUCCUCUGUCCCAUGCUGCUGCCUUCUUAAGGGAGCAAAGAAGAGACUUACCAUAUCCACCAGCUGAUACCUCCUGUGACUAGGGCAAGGAUGCAUAUUUUAUAUCAAUGCAUACACCUCCAUAAUCUGCCCCUGCUGUUCUCUCCAGCCUUUUCUUCCCUUCUCAGGCUCUCACCACAGGGCUCCUCCCUGUCCUGGAAGAGAUUGCGUGUGUUCCUGCGUUCGCUCACAUGGUUUCCUGAUGUGUAAUUCUCCUCUUCCCCUACCUGGACUCAAGUGCAGCCAUACCACAGCAGCAGGCCUUCUGCACCUUCUCCAGGUGAUGGAUGCCUCUGAACCCACGUGGUCUGCCUGCUCUCAGAGCCAGGCUCAGGGAGUGCCAGCUGGCAGCAGUGCCCUGGGCUUUCCAGGAGGUUGGGCAGUGGCUCAGGGAGGCAGCCCUGGAAUCUGCUUUAGGACUGGGCUUCCUUUAGGCACUAUCCCAACCAGCCAACCCCCCCACACCCCGAAAAAGAGGAGGACUCCACUGGGCUGAUCUAUCCCCUUGGUCACUUUCAUAUUCACUUUGGUAUUAUAUUCUUUUGGGUCACUUCAGAUUCAUUUCACCUGAAUUCAGAUACUUGGAGAAGGGAAAGAGCCAAGAAGUAAAAGAACAUUGGCCUAUAUUUUAAAAAAGAGCACAUAGGUCAGGCGCUGUGGCUCACGCCUGUAAUUCCAACACUUUGGGAGGCCAAGGCGGGCAGAUCACCUGAGGUUAGGAGUUCAAGACCAGCCUGGCUGACAUGGUGAAACCCCAUCUCUACUAAAAACUACAAAAAUUAGUUGGCUACGGUGGCGGGUGCCGCCUCUAAUCCCAGCUACUUGGGAGGCUGAGGCAGGAAAAUUGCUUGAACCUGAGAGACAGAGGUUGCAGUGAGUCAAGAUCAUGCUACUGCACUCCAGCCUGGGCAACAGAGGAAAACUCUGUCUCAUAAAUAAAUAAAUAGCAUAUAAAAUCAGAAUGAUGAGUCUUCCUCCAGGAAGAUCAGCUUUUAAUGAAAGAAAAUCUACAGAGCACAUCACUUGAACUUAGCAGUAUUUGUUUAUUAAUUUACUGUGUCAUAAAUCUCUUUUGUGUGUUAACAAGCAUACGGAAAUAAAGAGCCUUAGCUAUCAACUGAUCAGCUAAGCUGAUGGCCCAAUUAAUAUUACAUUUUACUAUGUUCUAUACUCAAUUGUAAGGACAGUUCUUCUCUUGUGUUUUCCUGCCAUUCAAGUGAGUAAAUAAGGACUCUCUUGUCAUUCAAAUAAAAUCCAAAGAAUAUUCCCUUGGCUUACAGAGCCAUGCAUGAGCUGUUUUCCUGCUAUGGCUGCAACUUAACGCCUUCCUCUCUUCCUCUUCGCACGUGGCUCCAGUCUCCUGACCUCCUGGCUCUUCCAUGCCAAGCAGGCUCCCCCCACAGGACCUUUGCUCUCCUGGUUCCUUUUGUCUAGCAGGUUCUUCCCCAGCCGUGUCCACAGGGCUCACUUCCUCCCUUCAGUUAGAGUCUCUGCUCACAUCUCACCUUCUCAGAGAGGGCUCCUCUGACCACCCCACAUAAAGUGGCACCCUGCCUCCUCCACCACACACCUCUUCAUCUACGUGAUCGGUUUUUCUUCACAGCCCUCUUAGUGUGUUGAAAGGUGUUCUUCCCAUCUCAGCUUUAACUGAGAUGAGCACAAUGGCCAUCACUAGAGUGAACAUGAAACCCAUCCCCACCAUCCCACACCAUAGGCAGAAUUUUAGAAGAACGUAUGGGAAAAUAGCUCCAUGACUCAGCCAUAGCAAGAAUAUAUAAAAGUGUGAGAGAGGGUUUUGAGUGAAGACUUAUCUUCCCUGUAUGGGACAGAUGUGUAACUAUACUGUGAAUCUUCCAACCUUCUGAUCUCCAGCCUUAGUGACGGAGGAAUCCUUGCACUUCAUGCAGCCUAGAAGUGUCUGUCUCCUGCCUGGGAAAUCUCAGGUAGCCCCAGGCAGCAGGAUACAGGCAUCUGCUCUGGGAUGACAUUGCACCCCAGGGGCUAUCCGAACAAUGAUGCGUGAUUAUGUGCUGUGAAGGUGUGGAUGAAGGUGGUGCAAAAAGCAGCAGCCGUUGGAAGUCCUGCCCGGGAGCGAUGAGUGCCUGAGAAGCCAGGGCUGAGAGAGGCAGCUGAGGAUCUCAGACUCAGCUGAACCAUCCUUCCACCCGGCCCAAGAGGUAUGACCUGGUGGCCAACUCUCACCUGAACCUGAAGUUAGGAGCUAGGGGAAGCUCCAUGAGCAAAGAGGAGAGUUCUGUCUCACCCCCGCAUUGCAACUGGCCAGCACAAUGUCAGCUCCAGCUGAGAGGGGCUGGAGAAGGCUUGGUUUGGAUUCAAGUUCAUUUUGGUUCCUACAAAAAAAGGAGACAUUCUAGCUACAAAACGGAGAUUCUAUUUGUGAUCACAAAGGAUCACAAGAGUUGAUUUUGUUCGUUGUUCAUUUGCUUGAUUUCACCUGGGAAUGAGUAGAAAAAUCUUCAGCCUGCUGGAAUGUUCAUCGAAGUGCAGGGAAAGAACCACUCGUCUCUGAAUAUUUGUGUUUUUCUUGAAUAUAUUUAAAAGAAAGAGAGAGAAUAUUAAUAGAAGGUGGUGCUUGUUUAAGAUAGAAGCACCGGUCACUUUGUAUACACCUGCUUAUUUGUUUACUGUCUGUAGACAGUAUUUCCAGAAGUAUUCAGCCCCGAGAGAAAAGCGAUUUGUCCAUUUGGUUCACUGCUAUUUCUCUCUAUUUCCUGCAACAGAAGUGCCCAGCAAAGGGUACAAGUUCAAUCAACCUUUUCUGAAUGAAUGAAUGAAUGAAAUGAGUUUACUGCUGGACUUACCUUUGCUGGUCUGAAAUGCAUACUUUUAUAAAUGUAUGGAAGUCAAGGUUUGCGAAACACGUUAAAUAAAUAACUGCAGAUGAUAAUGGCAGUUCAAUCUAUAAAUAUUUACUGAACACUCAUUAGGAGCCAAGGGCUGUGAAGGACAAAAAGAGUUUAAGUCUCCUCCAGCAAGGGAGAAAAACAUGUACACUCAAGGUUAUUUGGAGCUUUCUAUAACCUUCCAUCAAGCAGGAAGUCCUGUGCAUUUAACUACUGUGUUGGCUGUCUUAGGUUUUGUACUGCGACCUUAGAUGAGACAAAACACACACAUGCACACACACACACACACAGAGAGAGAGAGAGGAAAAAGAGAGACAGGAGGAAAGAAAGAGGGGAGAAAAUAGAAACACCAAAGCAACGUUGACCUUGCUUUGUAACCACAUUCAUAUAUGCAUUGCAGCAAUGACAGUAAAAUGUACGCAGAGAGGCUGCAGCCGGUCAGUGUGUUCUUGGCAUAAAGCGAUGUAUCCUAAGCUCUUUCUCAGCGAUGCCAGGUGCAGUAGCUUAACAAAGCUUCUCCCAAGACUUUUCCUUUUUUUUUUUCCCUUAAGCAUCCAAUGUAUUCUGAGUCCCUGGAGUCAUCACUAAAAAUACAUGCUAUAUAUUCCUUUCUGACUUGUGAAGUUAUUUACACAGAGCAUCUUCCAAGGUAAACAAUUUAAAUCAUGUGUAGUAACGCACUUGAUGAAUUAUCUUUCUAAAGGCUACAGAAUCUGCAAAUAAUUUGAACUUUUCUCUAUUGAGAAAUAAUUCUCUGAUUGGGCCAAAAUGUUAGGAGAUUUAUUUUAGAAGUUAAGCUGGAUUCAUGUAAGUAAACGCAGUAAUUCACACAAGUAAUUCGUGUAAGUAAAUACAGCCACCGGAAUUGUGUAGAAGAGUAUCGAACAAUAGGGAACAGUGUCCAUGGGGUGCUGUUGAGAGAGCAAAAGCUUUGGUGUGAUCCAGAACAGUGUUUUCAUACUUUAUUGACAGUGCUCCGUACUCAGAAAGGUAUUAGUGACACGUGCACAGCCCCCAGCCCUGCCCCCUGACACACACCUGAGAUAGAGUUUCACGAUACCAAGACUCUCUUUUCUUAUUUCAUUUUUUUCAUUUAAUAGGAGUUUUAUGAAACCUCUAUUCUCGUCUCUCAUCUGUUCCUUUUUAACGCUGGUCACCGCAUCCGAAUCAAUCUCGUGGCAUGCUAAUGUGGGUCACGACCUGUAAGUUGAAAGGCACUGACAGAGAAGAUGAACAGCAACCACCCUACCGAGUGAGUGCUACACCACAUCAAUUCACAUGAAUUAAAACAGCUAACUUGGCCACAACCCUAUCAUGCAGUGAUGACUUUUAGUCCAUUUUAUACAUGAGGUAAGCAUGGCAGAGAAAGGUAAAAUCACUAAUACAAAUUGUUGAAACUGGAAAGUCAGAUGGCAAAACCCUUCGCCAUUCUUGUCUCUCCAGGUAUAUUGCUUGUAAUAUUACAUUUGAUCAGUCCUUAACACGUAUGGAAGAACAAAGUCUGGAGAUCCGCACCAGAGUGGAGCCAGGGGUUGUCUCCAAGGAAUAUAUGUAUUUCCACUCUUUUAAAAUUAAAAUGAUACUUUGGCAAUAAAAUAGUUUAUGGAAUUUACCUGAUCAAUGUUUUUAUUGAUCUAUUUCUGAAUUUGGUAACGAUGUUGUUGGAAGAAUUCAUCUUGUUAAACAUAUUUUUAUUCUUCUAAAUGUUUCUAAAUAUCCUCUUGAGAGUCUCUAAGCAAUUUAGUUAUUGAGAGAGGUUUUAUAAAAUGAUUUCCAUGAUCAUUGACGGCUCCUCCGACUUCCGAGGGUUGUUAAUCAGUAGAAAUCAAGUGUCAAGGUCAGAGCUCUUGUUCAUUAAUUGAGGGGAAUUCACACAUGUUGUUUGUAGAAUAUUAUGUAUGUAUGUCAUUAUGAAAAUUAUGAGGACCCUUCUGCUACCUCUGAGGCUGAUUUUGUCCUUGCCAGUUUCACUAGGAAGUUCUGGUGUAGACAGGGGUUAGGAAAACAAAUUUCAUGUAAAAGCAUCGUCCUUCGUGUUGCAGCUUAGGUAUGCUUCUCCAGUGAGAUCUUCCUCCGAGAAAAUGCCAGAGUCUACUAUUGCACAUCCCACAGGGCUGCACAUUUCCCCUUUUAGGUAAUCAUCACACUCAAAAUAGUUGGUUUAAAAGCCGCCUUCACGGCUUUCUGAGGGCAGAACUGUGUCCCUCUGGCUCCCACCUCUGGUCCCAGCCCUUUCUCAUUAUCUAGUGAGUCGUAGUGACUCAGUAACUCCUUAUCAAAUGAAUGAAUAUGUGUAUAAUGAAUGUUUCUACAGAUGAACGAAUAAAUAAAUGAAACAUGAGAAACACAUAUUUUAAAUUCCCCUUAUUUUCAGGGAAAGUACAUUGAAGACCAUGCUUUCAACUGAAUGCUGCAGGAUUAAUAGAGGCUUUCAAAUUUGCCCUCCAAGGACCACAGCAGUGGUUUCCAAUUUACUCAAGCUUGAGUAAGGAAGACCAUUUGUAACAUCAAAACUGUACAUACGUCUUGACCUGAUAGAAAAUAACUUCCACCAUCUAUGAACAAGAAGCCCUCAUAAGCAUAGGUGUUCUCACACACAGUGACUUCCCAGUCCCCAGGGGUUCGUAACCACAGCAUGAACUCAAGAAGACUCAACAAUCUAACUUCCAUUCACCGGUUGAACUUCAUCCAAAUGCAAUCAAUACCUUUUCUCAACAACUUUCUUCCUGAAUUAGAGAAGAGUAACUUUAAAAAGCUUCAACCUUUUUGCCUUUAUGAUUGAUAUUGGUACAGGUGUAAGUAAUUCCACACAAGACGUGGUUACUAGUAAGUGGUGCUCAUCCAUUUUUGGAAAAUGUAACAUAGAAAAUAAUUGCAGCAUUUUGAGAAAGCAUUAAAUUAGAUGUCAGAUAUGGAAUAUUGGGGGAAAAGGGUCAAUUUAAAGAAGUCCUUUAAGGCCGGGCACAGUGGCUUAAGCCUGUAAUCCCAGCACUUUGGAAGGCCAAGGCUGGCAGAUUGCUUGAGCACAGGAGUUAGAUACCAGCCUGGGCAAUAUGGCAAAACCCUGUCUCUACAAAAAAUAUAAAAAUUAGCCAGGCAUGGUAGCACACACCUGUGGCCCCGGUUACUCGGAAGGCUGAGGUGGGAGGAUCACUUGAGCCCAGGAGGUGAAAAUUGCAGUAAGCCCAGUUCACACCCCUACACUCAUGUCUGGGGAACAGGAUCCUGUCUCAAAUAAAAAAAUCCUAUAAAAUAAUGUUUCAACUCUCAUAUGCUACUUCAAGAUUGCACAUCAGAUUUGCAUGUGUCUAAAUAAGACGGUUGGUGUACUGCACAUUUUAACAGAGAACAAAAUUAUGCUAACAUCUUUCUAUUAAAAUUAUAAAAAUCAAUAUUAUCAAAAUUAAAUCUAAUUUUUAGAAGAUCAGAUAUGUUACUGACAUAUGGUUGUCCCACUCAUGUUUAAGAGCUUCCUUAUUAACUUUUAAACUAAUAUAUUGGCUUCUGUGGCUAGAUGUUUUGUUUCACAAUGGCUAAAAGUAAAAUGCCAUCAAUUCCUAAAGUAAAAUAUUUUGAGCUUUAAGAGGAAACACAUAUGAUAAUUCUGUGUUUUGUUUGUAAUAAUGAAAAUGUAAGCUUAAAGAUGGUGAAAAUGUACCUAGAAUUUGUGGUGCCCUGGAAGCUGACUCACACCAGCUUGUGGGAGCGGACCGGACACACAUCUUCCUGGUGACGUCACGUUGGUAGACUUUAAUAACCAUAUUUGGAGCAUUUAUACCAUGGAUAUCGGCAAAUUCUAUAAAUGAAGACACCUUUUUUUUGGAGAGCUGGUUAAUAUACAUUUGCUCACACAGCAGUAAGUACAAUAGAAAGAUCUGUGACCAUGGUUGAGUUUUGCAGGAUAGAGUAUCAUUUCCCAUGUUCUUGGCAACAAGUCUCAGUUUAUGGUCUUAUCUCAAGAAAGGUACUCAUGGAAGCACCAGACACUAGAGGCUCCACAGCUAAGUGAGCUCCUCUGAUCAAAUAUAUUGUAAGUCAUGCUUCCUGCCUGAGUCAUGCUUAUCUCAUAAGUGAAAAGACAGAUUGCCAUGUCUCUUUUAACGAAUGUAAUUCUUUUGGCAAAGCUUUUAAAAAGUAAGUCUUUAGAAAAUUAUCAUUUAUAGAUAUUUUGACAUGAAAGUUAAAAAUGCAAUGAUAUAUUUUCAAACCUUUCAAGUGUCUUUGAACUCUGGCAAAGUGAUCUGGUAAUACAGCUGGAAGUGUUCCUUGCUGAUGUUAGCCUGUGCCCAUAUCUCUACUGACCUAUGGCCACAAUUUCUCAGCUUAGUGUACCAGUGCAAGGCCUGUAGCCUUCAGCUACUAAAAUAGCAUAUCUACACCUGAACACUGAGCAUGUAUUAAUUUUAGUAAUCAUGUGCUCACCUUAACUGGUGAAUUGUCACUUAUUAAUGGGCAUUAAUGGUCAAUGACUUAUGGUUAGAUUUAUAUGAUUACCAUAUAAUAAAAUCUAGCUACUUCUAGAAAACUCUGGAAAAAAAGAGCUAUCUUAGAAAAUCAGAAUACAUGGUCAUUCUGUUUAGAAGAGUUAUGCUAUUGGAAUUCAAAGGACCUGCCUGCUGUCUUAAUAAGACAACAACCUUAUUCUACAAAAGAGUGUUGAUAUGGGACAGGCGGCUCCUCUUACAGUCUAAAAUCCUUCUCAUCACCCUCGCCACCUUCUCUGCAGGAGGUGUGGGAAACAUUCUAACGUUUUGCUGUAACUCUCCUGUGAAAAUAUUUGUACAUUUGAAGGUGGAUAGUUCUUAGGAAACUGUCUCUAUUUCUUCACUUAUAAUUGAUCUGCUUAUAAUUUCUCUCUUAGGGUAGAUUUUAAUUAUUUAUAUU
This is a long non-coding RNA of Callithrix jacchus (white-tufted-ear marmoset), 15585 nucleotides long. RefSeq lists it as uncharacterized. The record is from RefSeq and is a predicted model, not a curated record. Lineage: Eukaryota; Metazoa; Chordata; Mammalia; Primates; Cebidae.